GUGUUCGCUUUAGCAGCACACAUACUAAAAUUUGGGAAGAUACAGACAAGAUUAGCAGGGCCCUGCACAGGAAGACACACAAAUUCAUGAAGCAUUACAUAUUUUU
Molecule: small nuclear RNA, 106 nt
Organism: Nycticebus coucang (slow loris)
Lineage: Eukaryota; Metazoa; Chordata; Mammalia; Primates; Lorisidae
Source: RefSeq, a predicted model, not a curated record